CUAAUAGGGCCUCAGUAAAGCCUCAGGAAUCUGCUUCUGGAGUUAUUUCCUGUUGAUGUCGUUGCAGAUAUUCUCAAAGGCCUUUUGCUGACUGCUCUAGGCCCGGACCCUACAUCCAAAGGAGAGGAUGACUGAUCCCUGGCUGAUUCUUUGCACCAGCUUUGACUGACAGCUGUCAUGGCAGAUUCGUCGAGGGCAUGGGCAUAGGAUAACAGCUGAAAGCCAGCUGGACCAUUCAGGAAUGCUCAGGUUUAAAAACAUGAACUAUGGGAUGCCUGUGGUAGCAUCGGGCAAGCUGAUGGUUACAGAGGGCAGUGGCCACCGUUCAGGGGACUGCAGCGUCCUGGGAGAGAGACUCGGGAAGACCAGGAGAUGGCGACGCAUGGGAAAGGCUCUGCUGGAGGAAAAUUCGUUUCCAAGACUCACACUAAGAGCCACAGACACCAGAGUGAAAGCCCAAGCCCUGAUUUGCCAAAGCCAGUUGAGACGUAGAAUAUUACCUUCUCCAAAUCAUUGGGAGCGCAGUCUUUCCUCGAAAGCAACCAAGAUUUUCAAGAAAC
This 560-nucleotide long non-coding RNA is filed under the name Macaca mulatta (Rhesus monkey). Its description in RNAcentral is "lncRNA (ENSMMUG00000058994.1)". The record is from RNAcentral. Lineage: Eukaryota; Metazoa; Chordata; Mammalia; Primates; Cercopithecidae.